GGCCGCGCCCGCCGCCGGGACGGGGGUGCCCGCACCGGGACCCGGCGCUGCGGGCAGGGCGCCCUCCCGGCCCGCUCACCUUCCCGCACCGCGCGGUGGUAACACCGAGGGUCCCUUCGGGAGCGGUGGGUGUGCCGGUGCUGCCCCUCGCUCGACUCAGAGUGACCCUCUCGAGCACCGUUGACAUGAGUCACGGCUGUGCUCGUCCUGCCUCGACCGGACUGGCUGUAGGGCAGAAUUCAAGAUCUCCCUAGGCAUAAAUUUCUUGCCUCACGAGCAGUGGUAUCCAGGGUUGUCCCUUCCUAUCACGUUGUGCUUUUACUCGGUUCCAUGCACCUACACCACUUCUCCAUCUUUUCCUACUGGUCACUUGGGUUUUUUUCCUAACACCUAUGUUGGUAGGAAGUUGCAAUUUGGGUUUGUGUUUUCUAUUCUUUUUUUAUUCUCAUUAAUUCACAAAUAAUUACAAGGGAAAUUUCAAAAACCCCCUGGUUCCUGUCUUGCAAGGAUCUUGAAGAACAGCAAGAAGAUGGUUGUGUGGAAAAGAAGUAAGAGAGGUCACCUCACUGUUCUGAUGACACAGGAAGAGUAAGUCCUUCUUUCUCCUCUGUGUCUGGUGUACUGGGAUCACCUUUGCUGCUCUGUGCUUCAGUGUCCUCAGGGCAAUCAUGUACAAUAAAAGCUGUUAUUACUUCUUCAGCCUACUGAGUUCACAACAGUGACUGAAAUGUCCUCAGACAAACAGAUGGGAAAUGGCCUAACCAAACUAGAAAAAGGCCACAGGCAAUGGUCAUGGAGUGCUUGAAGGGCAUCUGCCUUCCCUCAUCACAAAGUUGAAGGGAGUCAGCAGAAUGGUUCAAGAAGGAGCAGAUGGAAACAGCUGCCAACAGAUGAGUACUGGAAUGGAUUCAAGCCACACUACUUGCUGGAACUUGAGAGUUUGUGAUGGCCUGAGCUUUCCCAAGCACAGGUAUCUAAGAUUUGGAACCAGGCAGCUGUCAGUCAGUUCUUAUUUAUGAGGACCAGAAAAAAACUCCACUGUUGUCCUAUAGUGUAGGGAAUCUUUUAAGCUGUGGUUGCAGAUAGUACUAAAGAUAAAAGAACCCUCCUAAGAUAUUUUUCAUUAACAUGUCUAUCUCAUAAUGCAAUCACUUCAAAUGGUUUUUCUCUUGACCUUGAGCUGAGAUUUACAGGUGGUAAAAGAUAAAUUUAGGAAGGCCAGUGACGCAAUGCUGACACUUUUAUGUCUUCUUGCAUAAUUUUUAGCAAACCAUGAAGAAUAAUAAAUGGCAAAAGCUCAAGUGUCCUUGGCAAACAAACAAACAGAAUAGCACCCUGUGAUAUUUUUACCUUUGUUUCCCCUUACCACACACAGUUUUUACUCCCACAGAGCUUGAAAUAUUAACCCAGCAUGUUAAUUUAUUUCUUCCAGAGUUGCCCUGACCAUUGCAUUUAACAUCUCUCUUGGAAGUACUUCAAACCAAGUGGCUGGCUCCAUCUCUAGCUUUGUUAAUUAGGCACAUUACUUCGUUGCUUUUUUUCUUAUCGCUUAAUGUAAUUGGCAUUUGUGAAGCUUUUGAAAGGCAUGUUUGGGACUACAUUCUGUGCAGCUGGCUUUCAACUGCAAGCUGUUUCAAGUGUGUAGUUCUGCAGAGGACAGCCUUUGAGAGCGUAGAGCAUGAGUGCCUAGCACAUACCCGCUUCCUUUCCAAAGGGAACAAAGGGAUGCAAGUGUGACCUGUCCCAUACAAAGGAACACGUGUGACACAUGAACCCCCUUGCAUCCAUUUGUAUUUCUAUGCCAUUAGAUCUGUAAUGAGAGCAUUACGUGCCCUGGAUGGAGAAUGGGUCUCCCUUUACAAGCUGCUGUAUAAAUGCUUUGCUCGGUGAUGCUCUUCUUCCCAAACUUUAGUCCACACAUAGGGAUGCCUUGCCAUGUCGACACAAAAGCCUGUAGGUGUUUUUCCCAUAAAAAUGGAUCUUUGAGCAUCCAAAUUCAAACUAUGAUCUUGUACUCGCUGUAAUAAUCCCAAUAUACUGUGUCAACUGCCAGCAAGACUGAUGGAUUUACACUGGGUAGGAAUUCGGCUCAUUGGUUUCAGUUGUUGUGGUGUGAAAUGAUGCUCUCUACCUGGGCUGAGAAAGAGUUAGUUUGGGGGGGAAAAAGGAAUGUAAAGACUAAAAAAAAAAAAAGGAUGUCGAAGCCCUGUUUUUCAUGGAAAUGCUGCCCUCCGGUGGCCUGGAGAAAAGCUUACACAGUGCUUAUUGGUUCAAUACUUUCACAGUGUAGCAAGCAGCAUCCCUCAAAUUGUCUAGGAUCCUGCCUCAGGAAACUCACAGGUGCCACAAAAACAAGUUUAAAAAAAUCAGAACAAAAAGAUAUUUCUUCAUUUGGUUUAGGAUUCAGAAGUAGAGCAUCGAUGUGAAAGACAGGAAUGUUGUGUGGCCAAAGUAUAAAAGGAAUCACAGAAUGGUUGGGGUUGGAAAGGACCUUAAGAAUCAUCUUGUUCCAAUCCCUGUGCUAUGGAAAGGGGCACCUCUCACUAGACCAGGUUGCUCAGAGCUCCAUGCAGCCUGGCCUUAAACACUUCCAGGGAUGUGGCACCCACAAUUUCUCUGGGCAACCUGUUCCAGUGCCUCACCACUCUCACAGUAAAGAAUUUCUUCCUAAUAUCUAAUCUAAACCUACUCCCUUUCAGUUUGAAGCCAUUCCCCUUUGUUCUGUCACUACUUGGUCUUUUAAAUAGCCUCUCUUUAUCUUUCUUGUAUUUUCCCUUCAGGUACUGGAAGGCUGCCCUGAAACCUUCUCUUUUCCAGGCUAAACAAUCCCAACUCUCUCAGCCUUUCCUCAUUGGAGGGGUGCUCCAUCCCUCUGAUCAUCUUGGUGGCAUCCUCUGGACUCACCCCAACAGGUCAAUGUCCCUUCUGUGCUGAGGACCCAGAGCUGGAGGCACAGCUCCAGGUGGGAUCUCACCAGAACAGAGUAGAGGGGAAAAUGACCUUCCUUGGUCCAGUGGCUAAGAAUUGUGCCCUAUUGAGGGACUUUGUCACCAGAGAAGGUCAUUGUCAUCCUGCUGUCAUCUGCAGAUCCUCUGCAUCUUCCCCACGUGCCUUCUUGGCAAGCAGCCUAUCUCCCUCAGGACCACUGCUCUCAGCACAGCCCAUACAAUGCAUUCAAACACCUUCCAUUUUCUCCCUCCUUUUGUCUUUAUUUUUCACUUAAAGAAAAAUAGAGUGGUGCCCCAGAAUUUGUCUAGCAAUAAAAAAGCCAAAACCCAACCAACCAUACUAUUCUUACAAUAUUUUCUCUCUGUUUCUGUAGAAGGUUCUUGGUAGGGAGGAAAUUGUUUUUUCCAAUAUAUUUUUCUUGAUGCUCCUAAUGUAUGGGCCUCCAGGUGCUGUCUGAAGACUGUGAAUAUCUUUGCUCUUUCUGCACCAACAAACCUUACAUUAUGGGAAGAGGAUAAAACAACAUGGAGUUCACCAAGCAAUGAUUUCAGGAAGAAAUGUAGUUAAUAGUUUUCCCAGCAGAUGUGGCUGUUGGACCAGAAAAGGCUCAAGCUCACGGAUGACAAAGGAAUACCCAUUGCUGCUACUACCCCUGCCCCUCUGGCUUCAGAAAAAUCACCAAGCUUGGAGCAUGACUGCCCCAGGAAGAAGGAGAAGCAACUGCAUUGCUCUGCUCAACACAUGGCAGCUUGCUCCUCUCUACAGAACAUUGAUCUUCAAGGCCAUACAUGAUUAAAGGAGUGGGAGACAUUCCCUGGAAUUAGCUGUUCCCUGUUUCUUUUUCCUGCUUAAGGUAAGAGCUGCACAAACUCUAUAAUAGUCACCUAACGGAGAACACAAUGACUAGUCUGUCAUCAAAGUAUUUAGGGAUGAUGACGGUAUCUAGAUUGGUUUUCAGUGUGCUUUUUGUUUUUAUUUUACUGUGAUGUUUCUACAAAAGCCAUAAAUCAUAGGGGUGUGAUAAGAAACAGGUUGUAGUUGCUGGUUAUUCUUGCCCAGAUGCAUAGAAAUGCCCUGGUUGUUACUUUCCAAUGACAACCAGCUCAGGGCUAAACAUUUUUCAGUUGCACAGCCAGCUUUCAAGGUUACACAUGGAUACUGAAUGAAACAGAGCCCACUGGUUAUUUUUAGGAAGGUUCUAAACAAGAAGCAAAUCCCUGGAGCAGUGCUGCCAGAGAUGCAUAAAGUUCAAAUCCAAAUUAAAACUGCCUAUCUUUGGCCUACAUUCCAGCUUGAACUUGAGGAAAACUGUGAUCUGUGACUUGAACUUUAUGACAAAAACUCAUUUGCAAUUAGUUUCUAAUACCUGAGAAUACAUGAACUUGGUACAAACACCUGAAAAAUAGAACCUGAAUGAAAAAUGUGAUCACUUGUCCCAAAAUGUGGUACCUGUUCUUGUGAGUUUUGUUUGGUUUCAGUAGCUACACUGGAAUUUGGAGAGUCUCAUUUUCUGCGAUUCUUAGUUUCAACACAUCUUUGGACGAUCAAGUCCUGCAAUCUAAUUGUAAAUUUUGGGGGCAGGAGGAGAAACAUGCUUAUUUAUUGAUUCUUCUAAUAAUGACCCCUUGACAGCAGCAUAUUUAUGCAAAGUAGUGCAACUGAAGCAUGUUCUUGAUUUCUUUACUGAAUCAGUGCCUGUAUCUUCUUCCUGCCAAGGCAGAGAUCUAAUACCACUCCUAAAUGCACUAGUAAUUCUAGAAGCCCGAACGAAAGUCAAGAUAACACC
Haemorhous mexicanus (house finch) is the source of this 4735-nucleotide long non-coding RNA. RefSeq lists it as uncharacterized. NCBI's taxonomy places the organism in Eukaryota, Metazoa, Chordata, Aves, Passeriformes, Fringillidae. The record is from RefSeq and is a predicted model, not a curated record. The transcript has 6 exons.